UACAUGGGGUGCAAACGUUGCUCGGAAUUAUUGGGCGUAAAGCGCACGUAGGCGGUUCGUUAAGUCGGAUGUGAAAGCCCUCGGCUCAACUGAGGAAGUGCACCCGAAACUGGCGAGCUUGAGUACGAAAGAGGAUCGCGGAAUUCCCGGUGUAGAGGUGAAAUUCGUAGAUGUCGGGAGGAACACCGGUGGCGAAGGCGGCGAUCUGGGUCGAUACUGACGCUGAGGUGCGAAAGCGUGGGGAGCAAACAGG
RNAcentral lists this ribosomal RNA (253 nucleotides) under uncultured bacterium. RNAcentral's name for it is "partial 16S ribosomal RNA". It matches the Rfam family "Bacterial small subunit ribosomal RNA", at positions 524 to 776 of the family's 1533-position model. The record is from RNAcentral.